GCCGCAAUAGCUCAGUUGGUAGAGCACGUCAUUCGUAAUGAUGGGGUCGGGGGUUCGAUUCCCUCUUGCGGCACCA
This 76-nucleotide transfer RNA is filed under the name Beijerinckiaceae bacterium. RNAcentral describes it as "tRNA-Thr". It matches the Rfam family "tRNA". From Rfam's summary of the family: Transfer RNA (tRNA) molecules are approximately 80 nucleotides in length. Their secondary structure includes four short double-helical elements and three loops (D, anti-codon, and T loops). The record is from RNAcentral. Lineage: Bacteria; Pseudomonadati; Pseudomonadota; Alphaproteobacteria; Hyphomicrobiales; Beijerinckiaceae.